This is a small nuclear RNA of Otolemur garnettii (small-eared galago), 107 nucleotides long. The record is from Ensembl. Lineage: Eukaryota; Metazoa; Chordata; Mammalia; Primates; Galagidae.
AUGUUUGUUUCAGCAUCACUUAUACCCAAAUUAGAAUGAUACAAAGAAUAUUAGCAUGGCUUCUAUACAAGGAUGACAUGCAAAUUUGUGAAAUGUUUUAUAUUUUA